UUGAUAUCAAAUUUGAGCUUAGCUAGCUGCUACACACACACACACACACACAUAUAUAUAUAUAGCCUAAUCACAUUGAACAACAAAGUUUAGUAAUAGAUCAUUUGAGUUACUGUGAUUUACCUUUCUAUAAAUUGUCGAGCUUGGCUAAUUGCGAGCCAGCAGCCACAGUAAAAUGGGGUGGGCAAGUGUUCUUCAGCAUGACUGGGUGUAAAGGACACGUAGGCGGUGAAUCGGGUUAAAAGUGAAAGUCGCUAAAAAUUGACGGAAUGCUAUCGAAACCAAUUCACUUGAGUGGGAUAGAGGAGAGUGGAAUUUCUUAUGUAAGGGGUGAAAUCCGGAGAUCUAUGAAGGAAUGCCAAAAGCGUUGGCGAAAUACUCUCGAAACCAAUUCACUUGAGUGAGAUAGAGGAGAGUGAAAUUUCCUCUCUGGGUCUCUACCGACACUGAGGUGCGUAAGCAUAGGAGCGAACAAAUUAGAUACCCAUGGACCAUGGCAAUUUCACCUUUGGUCACAAGCUUA
Molecule: non-coding RNA, 523 nt
Filed under: Ipomoea nil (Japanese morning glory)
Lineage: Eukaryota; Viridiplantae; Streptophyta; Magnoliopsida; Solanales; Convolvulaceae
Description: Bacterial small subunit ribosomal RNA
Rfam family: Bacterial small subunit ribosomal RNA
Source: Rfam by way of RNAcentral